This 76-nucleotide transfer RNA is filed under the name Gemmatimonadaceae bacterium. Its description in RNAcentral is "tRNA-Thr". It matches the Rfam family "tRNA". Rfam says of the family: Transfer RNA (tRNA) molecules are approximately 80 nucleotides in length. Their secondary structure includes four short double-helical elements and three loops (D, anti-codon, and T loops). RNAcentral also lists the same sequence under 2 other names. Lineage: Bacteria; Pseudomonadati; Gemmatimonadota; Gemmatimonadia; Gemmatimonadales; Gemmatimonadaceae. The record is from RNAcentral.
GCCGACGUAGCUCAGUUGGUAGAGCAGCUGAUUCGUAAUCAGCAGGUCAGCAGUUCGAGUCUGCUCGUCGGCUCCA